Long non-coding RNA from Ipomoea triloba (trilobed morning glory), 1014 nucleotides. RefSeq lists it as uncharacterized. The transcript has 2 exons. The record is from RefSeq and is a predicted model, not a curated record. NCBI's taxonomy places the organism in Eukaryota, Viridiplantae, Streptophyta, Magnoliopsida, Solanales, Convolvulaceae.
CAUCUCCAACACGGCAAUAGUGCAUGCAUCUUCAAUUCCCUGUGGAGAAUGUAGAAAAUAUCUUAGGCCAUGUUUGGUUCGCAUGAAAAAGUUUUCCAUGGGAAGUAGGUUCCCAUAAAUCAAAGAAAUUGGUCUUUUCCAAGGUUUGGUUGAUUGGAAUUUGUUUUCCAAUGGAAGUAUAGUUCUGCAUUUCUCAGGAAAACAAAAUCUGUGGGGAAAGGUGGUUUUUUUUUUUCCGUUGCAGGUGGGAAGAAAAAUUCUGGUUUUAGGACUAAUUUACCCAUGUACUUCUCUCUUAAUUACAUACAUAUAAAUGGCAAAUCUAGGGUUAUUUCUUGCUCCCUUCUACCGUUUCCUCAUUCUCUUUUCUUUCGGCCGUUUAUUGCUUUCUUCUCUGUUCUUCCCAUCGGUGCCUUCUUCUUUCUUCUCGCGUCUUUCUUCCUCUUUUUUCAACACCAUAGUCCAUAGUUCAAGCACUAUAGCCAUUUUACCGUAGCAAGAGCCUUGGUUACUGCAGAUUCUUUGCUUGGUGCUGCCAUGAUGUUGAGUGAGAAGUUGGAAUCGGUAGGAGACAAAAUAAGUAAAAGUCUUGGAACUGAAUUGACUCUUCAACAAAAAAUUGAGCAAUUAGAGGGUAAGUUGAGUGAGAUUGAGGGGCUGGAAUAUGAUGACAAGUUUAUGGCUUUGAUCAAGCUUCCUGAAUAUCCAAAUCAAAUGCUUGUAUUUUUUAGUCUUGCAGCGGACCAAAGGCUUGAAUGGGUGAAAAGGUUCCUUGCUACAUAUUGAACAUGUUUGUGGUAAGGAGUCUUGCAACGGACCAAAGGCUGAUGCAUUGUUGUUUUUGUUGUCAAGUUAGAAAGUAUCAUAUUGUAAGUAUGAAGCUGGCUAUGUAAAAAUAUGAUGUUAGCUUAUUUUUUUGGAAACUAAAAAGGAUGAACUUGUUAACUUGAAUAUCAUGUGUAUUUUGUAAUAUUUUGAAACUUGUUUGUUAUAAUAUUAUGGUAUUCUGCAACA